GUGCCAGCAGCCGCGGUAAUUCCAGCUCCAAUAGCGUAUAUUAAAGUUGUUGUGGUUAAAAAGCUCGUAGUUGAACCUUGGGCCUGGCUGGCCGGUCCGCCUCACCGCGUGCACUGGUCCGGCCGGGCCUUUCCCUCUGUGGAACCCCAUACCCUUCACUGGGCGUGGCGGGGAAACAGGACAUUUACUUUGAAAAAAUUAGAGUGCUCCAGGCAGGCCUAUGCUCGAAUACAUUAGCAUGGAAUAAUAAAAUAGGACGCGCGGUUCUAUUUUGUUGGUUUAUAGGACCGCCGUAAUGAUUAAUAGGGACAGUCGGGGGCAUCAGUAUUCAACUGUCAGAGGUGAAAUUCUUGGAUCAGUUGAAGACAAACUACUGCGAAAGCAUUUGCCAAGGAUGUUUUCAUUAAUCAGGAACGAAAGUUAGGGGAUCGAAGACGAUCAGAUACCGUCGUAGUCUUAACCAUAAACUAUGCCGACUAGGGAUCGGACGGUGUUAUUCAUGACCCGUUCGGCACCUUACGAGAAAUCAAAGUGCUUGGGCUCCAGGGGGAGUAUGGUCGCAAGGCUGAAACUUAAAGAAAUUGACGGAAGGGCACCACCAGGGGUGGAGCCUGCGGCUUAAUUUGACUCAACACGGGGAAACUCACCAGGUCCAGACACAAUAAGGAUUGACAGAUUGAGAGCUCUUUCUUGAUUUUGUGGGUGGUGGUGCAUGGCCGUUCUUAGUUGGUGGGGUGACUUGUCUGCUUAAUUGCGAUAACGAACGAGACCUUAACCUGCUAAAUAGCCCGCAUUGCUCCGGCAG
RNAcentral lists this ribosomal RNA (805 nucleotides) under uncultured fungus. RNAcentral describes it as "SSU rRNA". It matches the Rfam family "Eukaryotic small subunit ribosomal RNA", at positions 564 to 1376 of the family's 1831-position model. The record is from RNAcentral. Lineage: Eukaryota; Fungi.